AACGUAGGAGACAAACGUUAUCCGGAUUUACUGGGCGUAAAGGGCGUGUAGGUGGUUCUGUAAGUCUGGCGUGAAAUUUCUCGGCUUAACCGAGGCAGGUCGUCGGAUACUGCAGGGCUAGAGGACGGUAGAGGCGUGUGGAAUUCCGGGUGUAGUGGUGAAAUGCGUAGAGAUCCGGAGGAACACCAGUGGCGAAGGCGACACGCUGGGCCGUACCUGACACUGAUGCGCGACAGCAUGGGGAGCAAACAGG
RNAcentral lists this ribosomal RNA (253 nucleotides) under uncultured bacterium. Its description in RNAcentral is "partial 16S ribosomal RNA". It matches the Rfam family "Bacterial small subunit ribosomal RNA", at positions 524 to 776 of the family's 1533-position model. The record is from RNAcentral.